CCCUUAGAUGUCCGGGGCCGCACGCGCGCUACACUGAAGGAAUCAGCGUGGCUUUCUCCCUGACCCGAAAGGGUUGGGAAACCCGUUGAAUCUCCUUCGUGAUAGGGAUUGGGGCUUGAAAUUGUUCCCCAUGAACGAGGAAUUCCCAGUAAGCGCGGGUCAUAAGCUCGUGUUGAUUACGUCCCUGCCCUUUGUACACACCGCCCGUCGCUCCUACCGAUUGAGUGGUCCGGUGAGGCUUUGGGAUCUGAGCGGAAAGAGCGUUUCGCUGUUUCUGCUCGGAAAACUCAGUCGAACCUUAUCAUUUAGAGGAAGGAGAAGUCGUAACA
Molecule: ribosomal RNA, 329 nt
Filed under: uncultured eukaryote
Lineage: Eukaryota
Description: partial 18S ribosomal RNA
Rfam family: Eukaryotic small subunit ribosomal RNA
Source: RNAcentral